This is a non-coding RNA of Rattus norvegicus (Norway rat), 1366 nucleotides long. The record is from RefSeq and is a predicted model, not a curated record. Lineage: Eukaryota; Metazoa; Chordata; Mammalia; Rodentia; Muridae.
UGUACACAGUGUGUGAUCUGAUGUGUCUCCCAGCAUAGCAGGGAGACAGCACAAAGGACCUGAGGCUGGGGGUGGCUCCUCUGUCUUUGUGGAAUCUCCAUGGGGGAUUGGACCCUCCCCUAAAGGCGCAUGGACAGAUUCUACAAACGCUUUGAGCUCAGCCAAGGCCCUUCACAACGCCUUGCCAACUCUUCUGCUUACAACAAGCCGCUCUCGUCAGCGGUACCCAUAGAACGCUGCUUUAUCUGAUGCUUCCAAAUGUGUUCCCUUCUGAGCCAGGGUGGCGCAGUCGAUAACAGAUCAGAAGAGUUCCUGACCCUCUGAAGGAACCACGCCAAGCCUUUCAAGUGUUCACCAGGACUUUCUUUUCUGUCUACAUCACCCAGCCAAGAUACCAGCCCGCCCCUGAGCUCAGAAGAUGUCUGUGGUAUGAAUGGAUUCCAAGCAGAUGACACAAAAAUGAAGAAGAUGGGAGAACGGUCGGGAGCCACCCUCUAGCAGACGAUUACAUUUAUAUGCAUUAAAGAUGGACUCUGUCUUAUGUGUUAGCAUAAUGGCCUAAUCAUUUCCAUCCAACAGUACAGAUAGAUGUGUGUUCUCAUUGUCUUAAAAAUAGGUCCAUGAUGACCGUGCAGGAUUAAUGGAUGAAAUGCAGGAUUGGCGAUUAAAACUGGGAUUGUGGCUAUAGUCAGCCUUGGGAACAAGGAACUCUCAAGAAGGAAUAUUCAAAACCUGACUCCCAAGAUCCUGUAAACCAAUUAAACAAUAGCGAGAUGAGCUUCGCUAGGACAAGGGAGACCCUGGCUGACAUUUCCAAGCCAAGCCUGGAGAUUGCUGUUUGUCCACCCUGAGAAGCUGAGGUGCUGCUCACAGUAGGGGGCAAAGAAAAAACUGCUUAUGUGACACUCAAGUGCCCUCUGGCCCCACGUGUGGGAAUUUCUUUUAAAGGUCUUAGUAUAUGGGACGACAGAAUGGAAAGAGAUCGAUUAUCUACUGCAAGCCUAAUUAUAGCUGCAACUGCGAGUGCGAAAGAAAGGGUCACGUGACACGUUCAACACACGAGCUUGGAGCAGGAACAGUUUCCAAUGACAGCCACCAGGUGGCAGAACAGAACGCAAACCUCUCCGCAGUAGAGGUCAGCCCUCACUUCCUCUUAGGUGAGCCCUUUCUUUUAAGGGAAGACUCAGUGUUGACGCUAUCACUAGAGAUCCAGACUCUGCAGUCAGCAUUCAGGACUUGAGUUUGUGUCCUGUUGAUCCUGAGUCACACUCCGCGGGCCUCUGCAGGUUCUUCAUGAUCAUUCCUUUUUCUGUCAAAAGGAUGUAAUAGAACCUAGUUUAUACGGUUAUUUCAAAGACUAAGAGAA